ACCGGUUUUAAAAAGUGGUUUCACAUUCAAUAAAGACAUGUGAACCCUGAUAAAGCUAGUGG
RNAcentral lists this microRNA precursor (62 nucleotides) under Caenorhabditis elegans. RNAcentral describes it as "Cel-Mir-799_pre stem-loop". The record is from RNAcentral. Lineage: Eukaryota; Metazoa; Nematoda; Chromadorea; Rhabditida; Rhabditidae.